GCAGAGUUGCCUGAUAUGUGAAACAUGAAAUAAAGCCUGGAAUUACUGCAAAAUCUUAAGGAGAAAGCAGAACCACGAUGUGGAGAGGAGGAGAGCUUCCCUGGGGCUGCCCUUCCUGAAGCCAUUUUGUCUUCAGGAUACUGAGCACAAGCCCCUUGCUGCUUGCUUGGCUCACGGGAGCGCCAGUCGUGGAGCUGCCCCUUGUUUCCCCCGGCGCACGAGCAAGUCUAAUGGAGCACCCGCAGCACACCUGCUCAGCUGUCUGAGAUGCUUCCGAAUUUUGCUUUUUGCGGAGGGAGCUGAGAGCUUGCCUCCUUCCGUAAGUCUGGGCACAGGGAAGGCGAGAGAAAUAUGGGCUGAACUUACUGUCGGCUCUCUUAAAAGCUUUUUAUUGUAGAUAAAAUGUGUGAUAAUGGUACCCAGAACUAUCAUUAUGGUUAAUUAAAGGUCUGUUACAUUUUAUAAUGUGAGGGUUUUAUUUUCUGGAGUUGAUAACAUGGCCAUAAAACCUUGCUUUAGGCAAAAUCUAGGUAUUCAAGGUCACAAUUUAGAAGUAAUUUUGAAAUUGAAGAAAAAACACCAAACCAGCAUAUAGUUCCUAUUAUUUCUGAGAUGUGGAAGUACAGAGGUAAUGAUUUAGACCAAAAAAAGGAACACCAGCACCUACGCACUGAUGAAAUGAUGAAAUGUUCAGUAUCGAUUGCUGUGGAAGGAGAAGCCUUCAGUUCUGUGACGGGCACAGAGGACGGGCUGGGGUAGCAGCUACCGGACGGAGGAAGCGGGGUUCGGGAAGCUGAGUGCUUGCCACAUCUUUCUUUGGGCUGAAAAUGCAGAGCCUGGUUCCAGGGACAGGACCAAGUCUGGAUGUAAAGACAGGAGUGCCACGAUUUUAGCACUGUUUCCAAAGAUAGGUAUUUUCAGCCUGUGAUGAGCAGAGCCUAAUGCACUGCUGACGGACUGGGAUGUCGCGGGGCGUUCCCACACCCCACCGGGGGGUGAAUCCCUGCAGCACCCGGAACCACCUGCGACUCCUCUGAGGGUCCCCAGCUUUGGAUGUGGGGAUGAAUGUUGGGAGGCUGUGAGGCUCUGUUGUUGGAUUCAUCCUCUCUGGUAUGCAGUCUGCCGUGGUUGGGAUUUUUACUUUGUUUUUUUUCUUUUUUUUUCUGCUGCUGGUGUGGAGAAGUAACGUACCUCACCCCCACUUAAGGAAAACUGAUGUUACUCUGAGCUCCUGCUAUAUUAAGUGUGUGCUUAGAAACCUAGGUGAGACGAGAAACCUCAGAUGAGGGUUUCCAUUUAGGUGCCAGGAGCUCUGAGGCAUGGAAGAUGAAGGCAGGUAUAGACCUGGGGUGGAGAAGCGAAGGGCAGGAGAUGGGGGGCCAGAGCCACCACGGGCUGGUGUGAGGGGCACGCACGUCAUGCCCCGUGGUGUGGGAGGCUGUGCUGCCCUCUCACCGUCGUGAAUGCCAUAGAAACUAAUCCUGGAAAACACCAACAGGAAGGAAAAAGCUUAGAAAUGCAUUAUCUAGAGAUAGAAAAGUUUCUAUCUGACGAUGGGAAAAAAACUAACAGUGAUUAACAGAGAAUCGUAUUAGAAUUUCAAAAGGCUUUUUGAGUUUAAAAAGCAUGAGUAAACAAAAAUAGAGACAAAUACCCAGAAUAUAAUCCUUACAAAUGUUGCUCUGCAUCUUUGUGAGGUGUUGCCAGCGAGCCUGGAUGCUGGGCCAGGACUGAAAACAAAAUUCUUCACCCACGUUUUGCAGAGCAGGGUGCUGUAAAGGCUCCGUCUGAGCUGGCAAUGGAUCUCUCAGGACCACGUCUGCGUGGCUUUGAGCGAAGAGCACAAUUAAAUUCUGAAGAUCUUCGAGGAAAGUAAGGUAUAUCAACGAGAUGGGGCACAGGCCUAGCUGCGUGUCUUCGAGCGGGUGUCGCAGGGACUGGAGCGGUGACUCGGAAGCACAGGGAGCUUUGUUCUGCCUGCGUGUUGUGCACUGACCUCCUCCGUCGGUCUCUUGUGGAGAGCAGGAACCGGGCUUGUCCCUCAUCUGCGGUGUCAUGUUCACCCUGAUUACUAAGGCUGCACUAAUUAAUGAGCUAGCAGAGGACAGAGAGCCGGAGAUACCAGGAGGAGCGCUCCUUGCGCGAGUGCAACUUUAGCCUUGUAUUCCUAAUUGCUAUCAGCUGCAAAUGUGACACGAGGAAAAUUCCGGUCUUUCAGAGAAUUUCAGCUGAGUGAAAUAAGAAUCAGAGUGGCUACAUGAAUAAUUCCUUUGUUCAGUUGUCUUUUAUAUUUAAAUCUUAGUUACAGGUCAAAACAAUGGGGACUGCAUGUCAGAGGAAAUGCUUGCUCACUGCCUUCCCACUGCGGCAGGGAACUUGCUAAUGUCAGGCUUGAGAGACAGCACACGGUUUCAGUAAAAAUGGGAAUUAGAAAUCAGAGCUCCAGACUCUGUCCAGUAAUCUUCAGCAAAACAUGGAGAUAAUUGGAUAUUAGAGGCAGUCGAACUGCAGCAGCUCUGCACAAGGCAAUUUUUUCCUUCUGUAAGCAUAAAUUAACGCGGGUCUCGUUCGCUGUUUUCCUGCCCAGACUGCUGCUGAUACCCAGCUGGCCUCUUCAAAGCUGGCCAGCACCGCGCUUCUCUUGCUGCGGUGAUGCGAGCUGGAAUUCAGACCUCCCCCAAAGGAUCCGUGCAGAAACUCUUACUAGGCUGGAAAAUUGGUUAUACAAAUAAAUCGGAAUGAAUGAAUAGAAAUAAAUGAGCA
This 2763-nucleotide long non-coding RNA is filed under the name Anser cygnoides (Swan goose). Its description in RNAcentral is "lncRNA (ENSACDG00005019167.1)". The record is from RNAcentral. Lineage: Eukaryota; Metazoa; Chordata; Aves; Anseriformes; Anatidae.